UUUGCUUGCAAACCAAAGCUGGCGACCGGCGCACGGGUGAGUAACACGUAUCCAACCUGCCUCAUACUCGGGGAUAGCCUUUCGAAAGAAAGAUUAAUAUCCGAUAGCAUAUAUUUCCCGCAUGGGUUUUAUAUUAAAGAAAUUCGGUAUGAGAUGGGGAUGCGUUCCAUUAGUUUGUUGGCGGGGUAACGGCCCACCAAGACUACGAUGGAUAGGGGCUCUGAGAGGAAGGUCCCCCACAUUGGAACUGAGACACGGUCCAAACUCCUACGGGAGGCAGCAGUGAGGAAUAUUGGUCAAUGGACGCGAGCCUGAACCAGCCAAGUAGCGUGAAGGAUGACUGCCCUAUGGGUUGUAAACUUCUUUUAUAUGGGAAUAAAGUGGUCCACGUGUGGAUUUUUGUAUGUACCAUAUGAAUAAGGAUCGGCUAACUCCGUGCCAGCAGCCGCGGUAAUACGGAGGAUCCGAGCGUUAUCCGGAUUUAUUGGGUUUAAAGGGAGCGUAGGCGGAUUGUUAAGUCAGUUGUGAAAGUUUGCGGCUUAACCGUAAAAUUGCAGUUGAUACUGG
RNAcentral lists this ribosomal RNA (567 nucleotides) under uncultured Bacteroidales bacterium. Its description in RNAcentral is "bacterial SSU rRNA". It matches the Rfam family "Bacterial small subunit ribosomal RNA", at positions 75 to 636 of the family's 1533-position model. The record is from RNAcentral. Lineage: Bacteria; Pseudomonadati; Bacteroidota; Bacteroidia; Bacteroidales.